This 253-nucleotide ribosomal RNA is filed under the name uncultured bacterium. RNAcentral's name for it is "partial 16S ribosomal RNA". It matches the Rfam family "Bacterial small subunit ribosomal RNA", at positions 524 to 776 of the family's 1533-position model. The record is from RNAcentral.
UACGGAGGGUGCAAGCGUUAUCCGGAUUUACUGGGUUUAAAGGGUGCGUAGGCGGGCCUGUAAGUCAGUGGUGAAAUCUUCCCGCUUAACGGGAAAACUGUCAUUGAUACUAUUUGUCUUGAAUACUGUGGAGGUCAGCGGAAUAUGUCAUGUAGCGGUGAAAUGCUUAGAUAUGACAUAGAACACCAAUUGCGAAGGCAGCUGGCUACACAAAUAUUGACACUGAGGCACGAAAGCGUGGGGAUCAAACAGG